UGGGAAUAUUGCACAAUGGGCGAAAGCCUGAUGCAGCAACGCCGCGUGCGGGAUGACGGCCUUCGGGUUGUAAACCGCUUUCAGCAGGGACGAAGGUUUUCUGACGGUACCUGCAGAAGAAGCACCGGCUAACUACGUGCCAGCAGCCGCGGUGAUACGUAGGGUGCGAGCGUUGUCCGGAAUUAUUGGGCGUAAAGAGCUUGUAGGCGGUCCGUUGCGUCGGAAGUGAAAACUCAGGGCUUAACCCUGAGCCUGCUUUCGAUACGGGCGGACUUGAGGGAUGUAGGGGAGAACGGAAUUCCUGGUGGAGCGGUGGAAUGCGCAGAUAUCAGGAGGAACACCAGUGGCGAAGGCGGUUCUCUGGACAUUUCCUGACGCUGAGAAGCGAAAGCGUGGGGAGCAAACAGGCUUAGAUACCCUGGUAGUCCACGCCGUAAACGGUGGCACUAGGUGUGGGACCCAUUCCACGGGUUCCGUGCCGUAGCUAACGCAUUAAGUGCCCCGCCUGGGGAGUACGGCCGCAA
RNAcentral lists this ribosomal RNA (524 nucleotides) under uncultured bacterium. Its description in RNAcentral is "partial 16S ribosomal RNA". It matches the Rfam family "Bacterial small subunit ribosomal RNA", at positions 356 to 891 of the family's 1533-position model. The record is from RNAcentral.